RNAcentral lists this long non-coding RNA (893 nucleotides) under Olea europaea subsp. europaea. Lineage: Eukaryota; Viridiplantae; Streptophyta; Magnoliopsida; Lamiales; Oleaceae. The record is from RNAcentral.
CUUGAUUUUAGGCGUGUAGAUCUUUCUUAAAACUUUCAUCUUUGAAGUGGUGGUGUUAAGGAUGCUUCUGAUCGUGGGGUGGUGAGGACUUCCCGGAAAAUGGCAGGCAGACGUCAAGCUUCACAACUCUCUUUCUUAUCCCUUCCAUUUCAUAUGAGGUAUUAACACUUUUCCGUAAUUUCCUUCAUAUUAUUUGCAUUAUAUUCAUCACCAUAAUUCAGAAUAAGGAUCUUGAGGCCCUGCAUUUUAGUUUCUUUCCAUCAUGAUGUCAGUAAGUCUUGAAUCUUGAAUUCAAUUUCGUUAACAGAUUUAUGUUCAAAUACUGUUAAUAGAUGAAUUCUUUGAAAACCCAGUUCUUUUUUUAUUGUGAUUGUGUAUGGUGUAAUUACGCAUUGGACUCUUUACCCCUAAACUAUGCAUAGUUUCUCAGCAUAAAUCUAGGGAAUUUUAUUAUGGGAAUGUACUUAUGUUAUCUGAUCCAGUGAAAAGUUGUCAUUAAUUAAUAAUGAAUGGCCAAUGGGGAUUUCUAAGCAAAUGUAUUUGUUAAUCUUUUAAAUUGCUCAAUAAUAUUUAUGUAAUAUUUACUGAUAGUAGGAGUUGGAUUGAUCUCACUGUGAAGCAUUGGAAUUUCCUGUGUUUUGACAACUUAAUCCACAUCCUUUAAAUUUGCUACUUCUAUCAUUCUUUUACAAUUUGCCUAUGUAAUGGUUGUUUUCUGUGAUCUGCCAUUCACCCCUUCCUCCUGGGAUCGACACCUCUUGUCAUCACUUAUUUUUUUUAUUUUUGUUUUAUGUCCCGUAACUCUUCCUUAGCCAGGCUUGGGCGGCCUGUCCAGCAGUUUCCUGAGUGUUGGAGUUAAUUUAUGGGAUGAAACAACUCGAAGUAUGGUCUGG